GUGGCACAGUUGGUAGAGCUGUUGCCUUGCAGCAAAAAGGUCCGGGUUCGAUUCCCGGC
Molecule: transfer RNA, 59 nt
Filed under: Xiphophorus maculatus (southern platyfish)
Lineage: Eukaryota; Metazoa; Chordata; Actinopteri; Cyprinodontiformes; Poeciliidae
Rfam family: tRNA
About the family: Transfer RNA (tRNA) molecules are approximately 80 nucleotides in length.
Source: Rfam by way of RNAcentral